GAAUAUCACAAGUUGUGAACAAGACAUUGUGGUGCCUUGGUCCUCGUUCUCUUAUCUCCAUGCCAGAUGGCCAUUAAGAAAGAUCAUAAAUUUUCAUCUUAUACCAUGAACGCAAGAAAAGUUUAUGUGCUUGCUAUCAUUGACGUGUCAUGAAGCUGGCCACACCUCGAAAGGCUGCCCGAAUCUAUUCAAUGAAUUGAAGGAAGAUGGAAAGCCAAGGCAUCGUCUGUGGGGAACGACUUCAGUUGCAGUUAUUCCUAAUACUUAAUUAGUUAAGAUAUUGCCGGCGUCAACUAUGUCGUAAAUUAUGACUUACCAACUUAUAUUGAAGAAUGAAGAGUAUGAUCAUCGUGUUGGUCGAACGAGCCGCGUGGGAAAUGUCGAUGACGAAGAGAGAGAUGGACCUAACGCUGGAGAGUGUGUUUGUUUACUAAGCCCAAGGCCGAUGUACCGUCAUUCAUGCAAGCGAUGGUCCCAGGCCUGAGUUACGACUUUAGCGCCCCUUCGACUCAAGGGGGUUUCGCUAGUCGAGAUAGGCGCUGAUUCGGCGAUAAACUGGAUUUGCUGCCUUGCCCACUGAAGUUGAAGCGAGUUGGCAUUAACUCAAUGUAAUUAACCAAAAUUCGUAUCCAAGAACACCUUGGAAUUUGCAAUGUCUGUUUGUAAAUUUGAUUACGUGGUUAUU
Molecule: long non-coding RNA, 685 nt
Organism: Daphnia carinata
Lineage: Eukaryota; Metazoa; Arthropoda; Branchiopoda; Diplostraca; Daphniidae
Exons: 7
Source: RefSeq, a predicted model, not a curated record